GUCGUUUUGCAGUUUUGCCUCUGCUCUUCGUCACUCGUCACUCGCCACUCGCCACUCGCCACUCGCCACUCGCCACUCGCCACUCGUCUCUGCUUCUCCUCACUUCUGAAUUAGGGUUCCAAUUCUAUUUUAUUUUUAAUUUUGUUGAUUCUUUGAUAUUUGAAAUGCAAAUUUAUUGAUUCUUUGGUACUGAUUUCUACUUCUUGUUGAU
This 211-nucleotide long non-coding RNA is filed under the name Arachis ipaensis. Its description in RNAcentral is "long non-coding RNA (AIPA_LNC001399)". The record is from RNAcentral. Lineage: Eukaryota; Viridiplantae; Streptophyta; Magnoliopsida; Fabales; Fabaceae.